UACGGAGGGUGCGAGCGUUAAUCGGAAUUACUGGGCGUAAAGGGUGCGUAGGUGGUUAUAUAAGUUAGGUGUAAAAGCCCUGGGCUUAACCUGGGAAGGAGACUUAAUACUGUAUAACUAGAGUAUAGGAGAGGGUAGUGGAAUUUCCGGUGUAGCGGUGAAAUGCGUAGAGAUCGGAAGGAACACCAGUGGCGAAGGCGGCUACCUGGCCAGAUACUGACACUGAGGCACGAAAGCGUGGGGAGCAAACAGGAUUAGAUACCCGAGUAGU
RNAcentral lists this ribosomal RNA (271 nucleotides) under uncultured bacterium. Its description in RNAcentral is "partial 16S ribosomal RNA". It matches the Rfam family "Bacterial small subunit ribosomal RNA", at positions 524 to 794 of the family's 1533-position model. The record is from RNAcentral.